CGCGACCCCAGGUCAGGCGGGGCUACCCGCUGAG
This 34-nucleotide ribosomal RNA is filed under the name Senna bicapsularis (rambling senna). Its description in RNAcentral is "partial 26S ribosomal RNA". Lineage: Eukaryota; Viridiplantae; Streptophyta; Magnoliopsida; Fabales; Fabaceae. The record is from RNAcentral.